GUAGUGAGCCUUUACUGUAGCAAUUACCGCAGGGAAUUAUAAUAUUUGUUUAUUCUUCAUUCCCACCUCCGCCCUUACUCUGCACACUGAAACUUCCGGUCGGUCUGGACUGUUUACCUUUGUACCCGCGGAGGAGCUGCUCUGCCGCUGAGACGCAGUCAGAAGCCAGUAAUAAAUGGGUGUUAUUAAGUUGCUCCAACUGGCCUCCCACUUGAGAUCCUCCUGCCUAAGCCUCCUGAGGAGCUGGAAGCACAGGCAUGACUCACUAUACCUGGCUAUAAGUUGCACUUUAAAGAUGAAGAAGCUGAAGCUCAGGGAGGAUAAAUUAUGCACUGAAGGUCACCCAAGUAAUCUAGAAACUUCAGGAUCUUUGUACACAUGAGACUGGAUGGAGCCCAGCACAAGCCUGUAACCUCAACACUGAGGCAGGAGGAUCAUGAGUUUGAGGCCAGCCCGUGCUACACAGCGAGACUCUUUCAAAAAACCAAAAGAAGGGCCGGGGAUUUAGCUCAGUGGUUUUGCCGCCUGCUGCGGAAGCACAAGGACCCGAGUUUGAUCCCCGACGCGGUCACACAGCGCAGUGAGCAAGCCCAUAUAUGCUGACGGAUCCAGGACACAAUACCACGAGGACCUAGCUACACAGGGUCCACACUGGAGGAGACAACCAAGACACUGCCAGAAUCUGCUUGUGCAGGAAAAAAAAGAAAAAAAUCUGACCUGGGCUUUAAAUUUGGACUUACAAGCUUUAACCUUGAGAAAGUCAUGUAUCUUUCUGGGUCUCAGCUUCCUUAUCUGUAAAAUGGGCUCCAUGUUAGUACUUGUGUCAUUGCAUGUUGUGGGGACCUCAGCUUCCCUUUGCUGGAACAGGAAGGCAUCUACAGAGGGGAAGAGGACUGGGAAGUUCAUCAGAUUGAGGUGGACAGUGAGGCACAGCAGGGGCAGCCAGACCGUGCGGUGCCAGGGCCUCUCCCCUCCAGAGGGCGUGGCUCCUCUUGGAUCUCCGCAUCCCAGCCCGCUGACCCAGCGCCUGGCUGGCAGCCCUGGAGGCAUGGGCCCAGCUGGUGGCAGGAGCCCUGGACAGGGGAAGGAGCAACUGGGAAACCCAUGACCCCCCUCAAAUGUAUGGGGUGCAGUGGUGGGGAGAAUACUUCCCCCUUCCUGGCCCUAGCCCCAGAGCCAGCACCUCCUUAGACCUGGCUCCCUGGGUCUGCCCAAACCUCCCUGCAGAUUCCUCUUGGCUCCCUGCUGGUUGCUCCAGCUCACAUGUGCUGCUUUCGAAUAAAGGAACUUGGAACCAC
Molecule: long non-coding RNA, 1298 nt
Filed under: Heterocephalus glaber (naked mole-rat)
Lineage: Eukaryota; Metazoa; Chordata; Mammalia; Rodentia; Bathyergidae
Description: lncRNA (ENSHGLG00100028534.2)
Source: RNAcentral